This 107-nucleotide small nuclear RNA is filed under the name Phocoena sinus (vaquita). Lineage: Eukaryota; Metazoa; Chordata; Mammalia; Artiodactyla; Phocoenidae. The record is from RNAcentral.
GUGCUCGCUUUGGCAACACAUAUACUAAAAUUGGAAUGAUACAGAGAAGAUUAGCAUGGCCCCUGUGCAAGGAUGACACACAAAUUCGUGAAGCAUUCCACAUUUUU